Pimephales promelas (fathead minnow) is the source of this 1399-nucleotide non-coding RNA. The record is from RefSeq and is a predicted model, not a curated record. NCBI's taxonomy places the organism in Eukaryota, Metazoa, Chordata, Actinopteri, Cypriniformes, Leuciscidae.
CCGAGUGUAAUGGGUUAGCUGCGCACUGUGAUUGGCUCAUCGCAUUUGAGGGUGUGGCUUAGCCAUAAGUCAAUUCAGCUAUUCAGCUUGAGUCAGUUCAAUGUCCCCAACUAAGCAAGCCAAACACGACAGUGUCAAGGAACCCAAACUGUAUCAGGUGACAGAAAUGGGGGGAAAAAUCAUGGAAGAAACCAGGCUCAGUCGAGGGGCCGCUCUCCUCUGGUCAUAUGAGCAAACAUGGUGUGCUUUAUGAUUCUAGACUGCAUCCACCUCAGAGACUGGAAUUUCAUUUCAACCCUAGACUAGUGAGUGAGACUAGUGUGAUUGAAUUUGGACCCUGUCUGCAACAUCAAUAGAGUACAAGUUGUAAUGAAUCUGGAACAUAACUUGAAUUUUCCUAAGGGCGAUCUUGCGUAUAAUACUGAAAUGUAAAUACGUGUAGUAAACCUUUAAUUCAAUCUGUUAUUUGUGUUUGAUGUAGGCAAUGCAUCUGGAAUAUCUCAGCCGCAUUAUCUCGUGUUUGUUGAGCUAAAGGGUGUGAGGAACCUCUCAGAGGAACAAAGAUACAAGUUAGACCACUGCCUACAAGAGGACUCUGACAUCUACAGAUCCUUCAGGAUGAAGGGCAGCAUCGGACCAAUGAGAGUUCAGCUCGUUCGCGAUGGAACUUUCCAAGAACUGAAAGAUCGCAUGAUGGCCUUCUCUGGUGUUUCGUCCAACACCUUCAAAAUGCAGCGUGUGAUACGUAGGAAAGAGUUUGCAGACUUUCUACUGCAGAGGGCUUUCUCAUGAGCAUUUCAAUUAAAGAUGGAGGCUCUGAUACAAAGCUGAGGAGUCAUUUUUGGCUGUUAAAAUAGUUUCUCCUAUCCUAGUUGUAUAGGCAGAGACAACUGUAAAUAAUCCACUGGUUUGGCGAUUCCCUGAAAAUUGCAUUUUCAAAGCAGACCUCUGGAACAGGCUCAACCAGGGGCAUGAGUUGUCCAUCCGAUGGAGGUGUAGGAUUUCAAAUUUAAGAUCUGCCGAUCCUACAUCCUUACAUAACAUCACAUGAAAAACUAAGGUGAACUACACUGUAUUGGGCAUUCAAGGUGAACAUGAUGGCAUCAAUUUGCUGAAAAGAUGCCAUCAAACUAUGUGUGAAUGUUUAUAUAUGGCCAUGUGAUUAAGGGCUACCAUUAUCUUCACAGUCGGGGGUAAUUGCCUGUAUUGUCUUUUAAAUUAUUUGUUUUAGUGGUCCUCUCUAAGGCUGUGUGUAAGGUCAACACUUUUAAGGACUGUCAAUAGGACUGCCCACUGAAAGAACUGCCUAAAAGAUACCAAUGUAAAGUUCCCUUUGUCAGACUUGCUGAGGACUACAGACAGCUCGUGUUCUCAAUAAAGAAUCCUGCUGAAGAUACAA